This 358-nucleotide ribosomal RNA is filed under the name uncultured Latescibacterota bacterium. RNAcentral's name for it is "bacterial SSU rRNA". It matches the Rfam family "Bacterial small subunit ribosomal RNA", at positions 1025 to 1382 of the family's 1533-position model. Lineage: Bacteria; Pseudomonadati; Candidatus Latescibacterota. The record is from RNAcentral.
GGCACCUGCACAGGUGCUGCAUGGCUGUCGUCAGCUCGUGUCGUGAGAUGUUGGGUUAAGUCCCGCAACGAGCGCAACCCUUAUCCCCAGUUGCCAUCAGGUAAAGCUGGGAACUCUGGGGAGACUGCCGGUGAUAAACCGGAGGAAGGCGGGGAUGACGUCAAGUCCUCAUGGCCCUUACAUCCCGGGCUACACACGUGCUACAAUGGCAGGUACAGAGGGCUGCGAAGCCGCGAGGUGGAGCGAAUCCCAGAAAACCUGUCUCAGUCCGGAUUGAAGUCUGCAACUCGACUUCAUGAAGGCGGAAUCGCUAGUAACCGCGAAUCAGCAGGUCGCGGUGAAUACGUUCCCGGGCCUU